This 400-nucleotide ribosomal RNA is filed under the name uncultured bacterium. RNAcentral describes it as "bacterial SSU rRNA". It matches the Rfam family "Bacterial small subunit ribosomal RNA", at positions 1 to 407 of the family's 1533-position model. The record is from RNAcentral.
UAGAGUUUGAUCAUGGCUCAGAUUGAACGCUGGCGGCAGGCCUAACACAUGCAAGUCGAGCGGUAGCACAGAGGAGCUUGCUCCUUGGGUGACGAGUGGCGGACGGGUGAGUAAUGUCUGGGAAACUGCCCGAUGGAGGGGGAUAACUACUGGAAACGGUAGCUAAUACCGCAUAACGUCGCAAGACCAAAGAGGGGGACCUUCGGGCCUCUUGCCAUCGGAUGUGCCCAGAUGGGAUUAGCUAGUAGGUGGGGUAACGGCUCACCUAGGCGACGAUCCCUAGCUGGUCUGAGAGGAUGACCAGCCACACUGGAACUGAGACACCGGUCCAGACUCUACGGGAGGCACAGUGGGGAAUUUGCACAUGGGCCAAGCCUGAUGCAGCCAUGCCGCGUGUAUG